UCAUGCUCUGAGACUUGGCCUCGCCGA
This 27-nucleotide small RNA is filed under the name Bombyx mori (domestic silkworm). RNAcentral describes it as "ovarian small RNA-7088". The record is from RNAcentral. Lineage: Eukaryota; Metazoa; Arthropoda; Insecta; Lepidoptera; Bombycidae.